This 94-nucleotide non-coding RNA is filed under the name Beduini massiliensis. Its description in RNAcentral is "NiCo riboswitch". It matches the Rfam family "NiCo (Nickel/Cobalt) riboswitch aptamer". The record is from RNAcentral. Lineage: Bacteria; Bacillati; Bacillota; Erysipelotrichia; Erysipelotrichales; Erysipelotrichaceae.
ACAGUACAAACUGAGCAGGCGAUGAACCUUUAAGGUCAUGGGGCCGGGCCACAAUAUGUGGCAGCAGAGUGUAUGUAUGCACCUGUGGGACAGU